Molecule: long non-coding RNA, 1981 nt
Organism: Pseudopipra pipra
Lineage: Eukaryota; Metazoa; Chordata; Aves; Passeriformes; Pipridae
Exons: 2
Source: RefSeq, a predicted model, not a curated record
GUCCCGGGGCCGCUGAGCCGCAGCCUCCCCGCAGCCGGCGAGCAGCAGCAGCAGCAGCCCCGCCAGGAGGCCGCGCAGCGCCCGCGGCCGCAUCUCCCGCUUGUCCCGCCCGGCGCGGCCCCGCAGCGCGGCCGGGCCCCGCCGCCUCGGUCCGGCCGCCGGAAGCGGAAGCGGCCCGGGCUGCCCGCCCCGCGGGGAGACUCCAUGGAUUUCGUUGGGACCCGCCCCGCUGGGGGUUCCGUCGAUUUCAUUGGAGAUAUCUUUUUUCCGGGAGCGGCCAAUGUCGCUCAGGGGUUACUUGGAAUGUAACCGGAUUUAAGGGAGAUUUUAUUUUUUUUUAACUGAUCCCCCUAUUCUAGCCUAAUUCUGUCUACGUGCGAAACAAUGGAAAUUUUAUAACUGAGUUAAAUGAAAGCAGGAAAAUUCCCAGCGUGACCCUUCCCGAGGCUGUCUGGCGGGAGCAUUCCUAGCGCCAGAGGCUGUCACUGCUGGGACCGAAGCCCCUUGACGGCGGGCGGUUCCACUGAUCAGGUUGGAGCCCCUUUGGCUCUCUCCAGAUGCCCGAAACCAGCAUACAAAGGAAUACUCCCUAGUACUCACAAAGACUCUUAAAGAGUCCUCCUUUGUACACGGUUUGCGGGCAUCAUUCCCCAUCUAAAUCCCACACGGUCGGACCAGGUUUCCUCCCCGCUUCGAUGCCGGGUAUCCCAUGGCAGAGUCCCAAAAUCUCGUUCAUUCGCGAGUCACGCGGAAGCAGCCUGAGCUGGUGCCUUCGAUGAAGGACCCCUCAGCAAAGGAACUGCCUUUUAUCCCCUUAAAGUCCUCUCCCUCUCGAGUCCUCUGCUACCGAUGUGUCUCCCUGUGUCCAUCCACCUGCUGCCACCGCCGGUCUCCGUGCGCUUCGUGCUCCCACCCGCAGCUUGACCUGCAUCUCGCACUGCAGCCGCAAACCCUGCGGCCUGCACCAGAUGUAUUCCUCGACAACGAGCAAAAGGAAGAGUUGGAAAAGGGCCUGAAGGCUUGGAAUCCAGUUUUUUCUUCAGAUGUGUAAACUACAACAAGGCUUUCAGGGAUCCCAUGUGCAUAGAGAAGGUGAAAUCCACAUUACCAGUGAGCUCUUUCUCAUUUGUCACUAUGUUGAAGGGAAUGGAUAAAAUGCCAGAGCAGCAAAGAAGCUUUGUAUAGAAAUAUUAUUGCAGUUGAAGUAAUAACCAGAUUUAUUUUUUUUAUGAGCAGACUUGUUAUCACAGAGGCCUUAAACACAGAGGCCUGGUGUAUCAAUCAUAUUGGGUCAUAUAGAAUCACAUAUAGGUAAUGUCAACAGUGAUUAGUUAAUUUAUUAACAAGCUAACAAGUUUAGCUGUUAGUUAACUUUGAAAACAGAUUCAAGGGGAAUGUGGAAACUGUAAAACUGAUUUAAAUAGCAUGUGAGCCUUUAAACUAUCAUCAGUAGUACAUCUUCUCUUGAAAAAAUAUAGUCCUUUUAAUGGGAAUAGACUUUCAGAUUCUUUGAACAACAGUUUUUGCUGAAGGUACUGGAGGGAUGGAGCAUGUGAAUAAACUUUCUUGAUAGCUUUUACCAUGGUUUAUAACUCUGAUAGGCUUGACUGAUUCAGGUCCUGCCACUCCCAAUCAAGCUACUUCUACCCCAUGAAUUCCCUUGAGGUAUAUUUUCUCUUGACAAGUUCAAGCAACUUCCUUCCAGCACAGUGGUUUAUGACAGAGGAAAGUGUCAUAUUCAAAAGUCAAGGAGGAAUACUGUUUAGAAUGUCAGUCAUUGAUGUUAAACUGUCCUAAAGAAGUAUCCAUGACUCAUGGACUGUGUAAAAUGUAACAGUGCUGAGUUGCUCACUCAGGGUGAUGUGGCAACAUACUGCAUGUCAGAUGCAAAGCAUGAGGGAAAAAGAAAAGAGUAUUGCUAGAGCAAUUUGUGUUCCUUAUUUUGAAACAAAAAUAGUUAAUAAAGUCCUUGUAUAUUUGU